GUGAAUCAUCAAAUUUUUGAACGCAAAUUGCACUCUCUCCGGAGAGUAUGCCUGUUUGAGGGUCAGCCUAAAAAAAAUCGACAUAGUCGCUGUUUCGCGGUGACGUUCGUCGGAAAUUGGGUCAUCUUAAACCUUUGGGUUUUAAGCGGCUUAAAAUUUUCUUUACGAUUCCCCGACCGUUUUUAGAAUUUACUUCUUAUACGUUUAGGUUAUCA
Molecule: unclassified non-coding RNA, 215 nt
Filed under: Glomus sp.
Lineage: Eukaryota; Fungi; Glomeromycota; Glomeromycetes; Glomerales; Glomeraceae
Description: partial contains 5.8S ribosomal RNA and internal transcribed spacer 2
Rfam family: 5.8S ribosomal RNA (bases 1-65)
Source: RNAcentral